This is a non-coding RNA of Claviceps sp. LM454 group G7, 85 nucleotides long. The record is from the annotation of a GenBank genome assembly. Lineage: Eukaryota; Fungi; Ascomycota; Sordariomycetes; Hypocreales; Clavicipitaceae.
GGGCGAAUGGUUUAGUGGUAUAAUACUCCCUUAGCAUGGAUGCAACGAUUGGGAGUGGUCCAGGGUUCGAUUCCCUGUUCGUCCA